AUAAAUGGUUUAUCCCUUCAGAAACCCAGAGGAACCAUGGGGACCCAGGGAAGCUUCCCACUGAUUCUGAUUGUUCCUCUGGGUUUCUGAAGGGAUAAACCACUUA
Podarcis lilfordi (Lilford's wall lizard) is the source of this 106-nucleotide non-coding RNA. The record is from the annotation of a GenBank genome assembly. Lineage: Eukaryota; Metazoa; Chordata; Lepidosauria; Squamata; Lacertidae.